ACAGGAGGCCGGUCUGCCGCGUGCGUCCCAGUGGCGCAGGAGGAAAGUCCGGGCAACACAGGGCAAUCCGCUUCCUAACGGGAAGUCGUCCGCAAGGGUGAGCGAAGGCAGAAGAAAACAACCGCCGGCGCCACACGGCGUCGGUAAGGGUGAGAAGGUGGGGUAAGAGCCCACCGGCUGCAUGGCGACAUGCAGGCCGUGCCUGCCGGAUGUUGAAAGUUCAUGUAAACCGGCGACUGAGGGUGACCCGCCCGAGCAAUGCGCCGGAGGGUAGAACGAUAGAGCCUGUCGGCGACGGCAGGCCCGGAUAAAUGGCAGACACCGUCCAAUACGGGCGGUACAGAACCCGGCUUACAGGCCUCCUGUCCUU
Prevotella sp. CAG:755 is the source of this 370-nucleotide non-coding RNA. It matches the Rfam family "Bacterial RNase P class A". Rfam says of the family: Ribonuclease P (RNase P) is a ubiquitous endoribonuclease, found in archaea, bacteria and eukarya as well as chloroplasts and mitochondria. Its best characterised activity is the generation of mature 5'-ends of tRNAs by cleaving the 5'-leader elements of precursor-tRNAs. Cellular RNase Ps are ribonucleoproteins. Lineage: Bacteria; Pseudomonadati; Bacteroidota; Bacteroidia; Bacteroidales; Prevotellaceae. The record is from Rfam.